This 1112-nucleotide long non-coding RNA is filed under the name Lathyrus oleraceus (garden pea). RNAcentral's name for it is "Pisum sativum (pea) long non-coding RNA (PSAT_LNC036900)". The record is from RNAcentral. Lineage: Eukaryota; Viridiplantae; Streptophyta; Magnoliopsida; Fabales; Fabaceae.
UGGAGAGUAGGGUGAUACUUUCCACCGCACUUGAAACACAGCCCCUUCGCCCUUCUCUCAUCCAUCUCGUCGUUGCGAAUGCUGCGAAUCCCUUUCCCUUUUUCAGGUCACGAAUCAUUCUCACCCUUUUUCCCAGUUGAAGCUAACGACGUCGUAGACAGCGUGUUAGAUCCAUUUGAUCCUGUUUUCUGAGUCGGAUUGGCCCAACUGGAACAACUUGUCUCUUUCAGAUUUGACCCGUUCCUGUUCCGAAAAGUUGGCCCGACCCAAUCACUACGGCCCCAUCGAUCCUGCCCUCCUUUUUUGCUACCGUAUAUGCCCGCGUCAUCAUCAUUUUCUCUCUCAACUCUUCCUCUACGUCUUUUGCAAUACGCAUCAUCUGCAUCCGAUUCAGAGGAUUGAAAGUCCGAACCCUACGACGAAUUUGUGGCUUCAAACCACUCAUAAAAUAACCCAGAUAUUGUUCCUCUGUGUAGGUGUUUAAUUGGCUGCAUUGUAUGGUAAAACACAAAUGUCUUGACUGAUGUCAUGACAUGUAUAUGUAACUACAUUGUAGUUACUGCAGGACUAGCUAACACAGGAUUAUUGAAUGCUGUAUUGAUGCUCCUGGCAGGGUCAGGAGUGAUUUCUAACCCCAACGCAUUUGUUACUUGAGGGGAGAUGAAAUUGUGGCUCGCACCACUAUCGAUCAACACUAACACAUCCACAUUUUCAAUUUUUCCCUGAAUUUUCAUGGUACGAUUUCCACUCAUACUUCCCAACACCCCCAUGGAUUGACAUUCUACCUCCUCCCCCUCUUCCUCAUCAGUUUGCACUUCUUCCAUAGAUACGAUUUCACCUUCAUCGUUAAGAGUUUCUCCUUCACCCAAAAUCAAUACGCGUAAGGAUCUCUCAGGACACUUAUGGAGAGUAGGGUGAUACUUUCCACCGCACUUGAAACAGAGCCCCUUCGCCCUUCUCUCAUCCAUCUCGUCGUUGCGAAUGCUGCAAAUCCCUUUCCCUUUUUCAGGUCGCGAAUCAUUCUCACCCUUUUUCCCAGUUGAAGCUAACGACGUCGUCGACAGCGUGUUAGAUCCACUUGAUCCUGUUUUCUGAGUCGGAUUGGCCCAACU